RNAcentral lists this long non-coding RNA (2208 nucleotides) under Homo sapiens (human). RNAcentral describes it as "HSALNT0139568". The record is from RNAcentral. Lineage: Eukaryota; Metazoa; Chordata; Mammalia; Primates; Hominidae.
CAAGAACUUUUUGAAUAACUCAAAAGAUUCUCCAGAUAAACAGAUUCAACCAAUUAGAAGCAUAUAUCCGUCCUAUUGGUGGAGAGAGAGAGAGAGUAAAAAUUAAUCAUCAUAUCCCAUAUGUGAUGAGUCUGGAUAUGUAGACUCUUCAAGUGUCAGAAAGCUGCAGCUCAACAAAAAUGAAUGCUCUUGUCUUGACACAUAAACUGAUCUGAAUCUACUAGAAAGAAACGUCAGUGGAAUCGACACUUCCUCUGUAUGAGACAGGUCACUUCUAUGUUAUUCCAUAACAGAACCUCUGAUUCACUCCUCUGAAAUCUACAUAUGGAUAACAAUUUUAAAAUUGCCAUGUAAUCUGGUAAUAACAAUAGUCAUCAUUGUUACUGUGUGCUGAAGGCAGAUACUUACCAAAUGGGAACCCUGAGAAAUUAAAACUAUAUCCUCUUUUCACAUAGCAACAAAAAGGAUCAAGGAGUUCAAAUAAUUUUUUCAAGAACAGAUACAUUGUGAAUUCUAAAGCCAAUAUCUAACACAAUCUGACAUAUUUCAGAGCUUUUUCUGUGCUUCUAUUUGCAUUCUUUUUGGAUAGUUAAGAGAUCCUACCGCCUCCAACCCUGUUCCUCCUGGAAAGCCUACUGCUUAUUAUCUGCUUCCUGGCCUCCCCAGCCCUACUGAGAUGAAUUAUAACCACAGCCUAAAGAAACCCCUGCUGCUCUAGCGUACUCCCUAGAGUUGCCCAGGCAAAAAGCGCCUUGGGAACAAAUCAACACCUGCAAUUCCUAGUGAAUCUUCUUAUGGAUUGCUUUGGAACUCAUCGUGGAAACAACUGUGUGUCUUCUCUUCCAAGGGGGUUUAAACCACUUCUUUGAAUUAUUAAUUACACAGCGUCUUUCUGUAUUUUCAGUGAUCAUCAUUUCACUAUGUGACUGUACUUCACUAUGAACUGCCUCAAAGUCUUUCCGAGUUCCCCUAUACCACAUAGCCUAUAUUUAAAGACAUACUAUUAGUGAAAUACUCUCCAAAAUGUGGCUUAAAUAUUUUCAUCCAUUUUGUUUGAUGUGAUGACAGAUGCAUUGAAACUUAAGUCUUAUUUAUACAGUCGUAAUGAUGCUCAAUACACUAUUACUGGUCUUGAUUAACUGCUUCAUAUGUGAAUAUCUUGAAUACUCAUAAUGAAUAUGAGCUCCUCUACUUCAUUUUGUGUGAACAUGUUCAACAAAUAUUGGCUCAUUUAAUAAAUAACUGAAUGAAUGGGCAACUACAGAACAAAUAACCAAGCUAGUGGAAUGAUAUUCUGAAAAUGAAGAGUGCUAUAUAAACAAUGUUUGUGUCCUCCUAAAAUUUAUACAUUGAAAUCCUAACUCCCAACGUGAUGAUAUUAGAAGAUGAGGCUUUAAGUAGAUGGUUAGGUAAUGAAGGUGGAGCUCUCAUGAGUGGAUUAUAAUGCUCUCUUAAAAAACAGACCUCAAAGAACCCCCAAACGUCUUCUGCUGCGUGAGGACAGAGGGAGAAGCAUCCAUGAACAAGGAAACUAGACACCAAAUCUGCCAAGACUGAUGGUGAAUUCCAGCCUACAGAACUGUGAGCAAUAAAUAUCUGCUGUUUAUAAGCCACCUAGUCUAUGGUACUUUUUAUACCAGCCUAAACAGACUAAUCCAAAAAGUAAAUACAUGACAGAAAAUUUUCAUAGAAGCUAAAUAAAGCCCAAUUACCAUACCUUCUAAGUUGUCAUCGUGCAGUAUUUAGACUCAAUAGAUUUCAAAGUUUUAGAUAUACCAUACUUAAUUAAAUUAAGACUGCAUGUCUUUGUAUGUUUUAUGAGAAUCUUCUGAGAAAAUUAAGUAAAUUUCAAGGAAAAUAAUCAAUAUAAUAGGGGUAAAGAAGAAGAAAACAAAAACAGAUUUAUAAUUGGAAGGAUUAAUGGCAGAGUAAUGUUUACGAAUUAGGAAAAAAAAUACUGUGAGGGGUUAGGCUAGUUCUCACAGAAUUCUCUGUGGCAGGCCAAUCGUUCCUCUUAUAUUUUAUAAGGAUUUGGAAGAAGAUUCUUUGGCUCCAAGUUAUGUGUGGGUGUGCUGUUUAAUAAUCAUAUGUUCAAGCCCUCCAUUACUGAAGAUGGAAUUACCACACCUCUUUAAAAGUUCAAUUUUCUGUUUAUAUGCUGGAUUACAUUUACUGAUUUGCAUAUAUUGAACCAGCCUUGCAUCCCAG